Molecule: transfer RNA, 72 nt
Filed under: Nematostella vectensis (starlet sea anemone)
Lineage: Eukaryota; Metazoa; Cnidaria; Anthozoa; Actiniaria; Edwardsiidae
Rfam family: tRNA
About the family: Transfer RNA (tRNA) molecules are approximately 80 nucleotides in length. Their secondary structure includes four short double-helical elements and three loops (D, anti-codon, and T loops). Further hydrogen bonds mediate the characteristic L-shaped molecular structure. tRNAs have two regions of fundamental functional importance: the anti-codon, which is responsible for specific mRNA codon recognition, and the 3' end, to which the tRNAs corresponding amino acid is attached (by aminoacyl-tRNA synthetases). tRNAs cope with the degeneracy of the genetic code in two manners: having more than one tRNA (with a specific anti-codon) for a particular amino acid; and 'wobble' base-pairing, i.e. permitting non-standard base-pairing at the 3rd anti-codon position.
Source: Rfam by way of RNAcentral
GACUCCGUGGCGUGAUGGUAGCGCGUCUGACUCCAGAUCAGAAGGUUGCGUGUUCAAAUCACGUCGGGGUCA